Molecule: long non-coding RNA, 357 nt
Filed under: Gallus gallus (chicken)
Lineage: Eukaryota; Metazoa; Chordata; Aves; Galliformes; Phasianidae
Description: long non-coding RNA NONGGAT011915
Source: RNAcentral
CCUGAAGGCAGCUGAAGCCCCUGGAGUACUCAUAUAGGAUCCAACUCCUGGAAAGAACGAUGUAUACAGCCUGUGGGGAAAAGGAGCCUUCAGUGGAAAGGAAAGAGAGUGACCAUGGAGAAGCAGCAGAGAAAGCAUUGUGGACUGAUGGCAGUCCUCCGUUCCCUUCUUCUGCUUGAGAGAAGGAGGUGGAUGGGGAUAAGUGAGACAGAUGGCAGCAGGAGGACAGUCUGACAGAAUGGUCUCUGACACUGGAGCACUGUUGAACUAAAGGCGUUUCACUGAAUUCCUCCAUGUAGAAAAAUGGCACCCACUGAAUUCAUCAACACUUGCUGCACAUUUAUGGAGAUCAAAAUU